CUUAGUGGCCAUAGCGCGGUGGUCCCACCUGAUCCCAUGCCGAACUCAGAAGUGAAACGCCGUAGCGCCGAUGGUAGUGUGGG
Molecule: ribosomal RNA, 83 nt
Filed under: Proteus mirabilis
Lineage: Bacteria; Pseudomonadati; Pseudomonadota; Gammaproteobacteria; Enterobacterales; Morganellaceae
Source: RNAcentral